UCAGUUACAGAGAGACCGUACCGCAAACCGACACAGGUGGGCAGGAUGAGAAUUCUAAGGCGCUUGAGAGAACUCAGGAGAAGGAACUCGGCAAAUUUGCACCGUAACUUCGGGAUAAGGUGCGCCCUGAUAGGUUGAAGCCCCUCGCGGGUGUAGGCUGAAAGGGUUGCAGUGAAAUGGUGGCUGCGACUGUUUAAUAAGAACACAGCACUCUGCAAACACGAAAGUGGACGUAUAGGGUGUGACGCCUGCCCGGUGCCGGAAGGUUAAGUGAUGGGGUGCAAGCUCUUGAUCGAAGCCCCGGUAAACGGCGGCCGUAACAAUAACGGUCCUAAGGUAGCGAAAUUCCUUGUCGGGUAAGUUCCGACCUGCACGAAUGGCGUAACGAUGGCCACACUGUCUCCUCCUGAGACUCAGCGAAGUUGAAAUGAUUGUGAAGAUGCAAUCUCCCCGCGGUUAGACGGAAAGACCCCAUGAACCUUUACUGUAGCUUUGCAUUGGACUUUGAACCAAUCUGUGUAGGAUAGGUGGGAGGCUGUGAAACUGGGACGCUAGUUCUGGUGGAGCCAACCUUGAAAUACCACCCUGGUUUGUUUGAGGUUCUAACCAUGGCCCGUGAAUCCGGGUCUGGGACCGUGCAUGGUAGGCAGUUUGACUGGGGCGGUCUCCUCCUAAAGUGUAACGGAGGAGUACGAAGGUACGCUAGGUACGGUCGGACAUCGUGCUGAUAGUGCAAUGGCAUAAGCGUGCUUGACUGCGAGACUCACACGUCGAGCAGGUACGAAAGUAGGUCAUAGUGAUCCGGUGGUUCUGUAUGGAAGGGCCAUCGCUCAACGGAUAAAAGGUACUCUGGGGAUAACAGGCUAAUACCGCCCAAGAGUUCAUAUCGACGGCGGUGUUUGGCACCUCGAUGUCGGCUCAUCACAUCCUGGGGCUGUAGUCGGUCCCAAGGGUAUGGCUGUUCGCCAUUUAAAGUGGUACGUGAGCUGGGUUUAAAACGUCGUGAGACAGUUUGGUCCCUAUCUGCCGUGGGCGCUGGAAAUUUGAAGGGGGCUGCUCCUAGUACGAGAGGACCGGAGUGGACGAACCUCUGGUGUACCGGUUAUGACGCCAGUCGUAUUGCCGGGUAGCUAAGUUCGGAAGAGAUAAACGCUGAAAGCAUCUAAGCGUGAAACUCGCCUUAAGAUAAGAUUUCCCUGGGGACUUGAUCCCCCUGAAGGGUCGUGGUAGACCACCACGUUGAUAGGCUGGGUGUGGAAGCGCAGCAAUGCGUUAAGCUAACCAGUACUAAUUGCCCGUGAGGCUUGAUCCU
This 1312-nucleotide ribosomal RNA is filed under the name metagenome. RNAcentral's name for it is "bacterial LSU rRNA". It matches the Rfam family "Bacterial large subunit ribosomal RNA", at positions 1627 to 2925 of the family's 2925-position model. The record is from RNAcentral.